GGACACUGGAAGCGCCAAUUUCAAAAAUCCGUUAUUAAGAAAACUCAAUUGAUUGCUUUACAGUAUUUGGUGUUGACCUUACAACUCUCGUGAAACUUCACAACACAAAACGACCAUUUGUUGUCGAUAUGUGCAUGUAUAUACAAGAUGUUGAGAUUGUGGUAUAUGUAGAAUACAUAUGUAUAGAAACUGUUUGAACUCGUCUGACAGUCACUCGUUCGUCGGUCGGAUCGAGAAAGGAGGCAGAUUUUACUUGUAACGUUGCAAAAAUGACAUCUAUUUGCCGGAAAAUACACAAUCAAGUAGGAAAAUCGAUAACAGAAGAUUUUCCUGACCGUCCAGCGAUCUACUUGAUACUGGAGAAAAACAAGCCUCUGUAUUUGGGACAAACAAACAACCUUCAUAGGCGCCUUAAAGAACACAUGCGUGGGGAACAAGCAAUCGACAAAAAGCUACAACAGCUCAACCCAUCUAAUAUCAAAGUGAAGUAUGAAGAAAGAGAAGACGCGAAACAAAAUGAGCAGAAUUUUAUCAAAUGCAUGGAAAACAUCAUUGGAAAACCUUUGCCUUAUAACAUUAUAAAAGGCAUUGGUCAACAGUGAAUUUGACUGGAAACCAAAGAGUAAACAAACAUUAAAAGUUAACAAAUAUAAUGUCAACACUUUUGCAUGGCCGCAAUUACCUAUACUACAUGUAGUAGUAAAAGUACACGCUUUUUCAUUAGAUCAUUUACGGUAUUCAAGCAUGUAGUUUGUUAAAAGCUUUGCGAAGCGUAUUCAGUAUCUACAUCAAUACACGAAUAAAGUCUAGUAGUCGGGCUGCYAGGCGCUACCCGACUUUAGUUCUCAGUAAUUUACGUCAAUCUAUGUUUCUAUGUGUAAGGUCGCGUUUUGAACUACAGAAGUGGACAUUGCGAACGGAAGCUAAAAAUUCGAGUAUUUAAAAUCAACUAUUAGGUUGGCUGUAUUAUUACAUAACAUGACAAGAAGCCCAAAUGUUAUAGAAUUGCAAAAGACUGUUGUUACUCAACUAAAUGUGUUUACAACCUGAACUUUCACUUCUCAAAAGCACAAAAUUAAUAAAAAAAAUACAACAUACAAAACAUGACUCAACUUACGAGAUUGAUUUAUCAGAUGUUUAAACAAAUUCACAAGAACUUUCAGGACACUCUUGGUAGCUUUGUCAUUCCCUUCGACUGAGAUACCAAAGUCGGGAAUAUCAGAUGUAGAUACAGAUGGUUUGAGAAUCCUCAGGGAGAUUUCAAUCCAUUGAGCCAGUGUUUUGGUGGGUUGUUCAUUCUAGAAGAGAUUAUGCAAUGUGUUGAGAAAGAUGAGCAAAAAGAGAAAGUGAAGCAAAGGGAAAUAUGUAACCUUCACGUGACGUGGGAAAAUUGUAAAAAAUGAUCUUGAAAAAGGUAGGUUGCAUGUGGCCAUAAUUUAGAACACUGAUAUCCUAUAGAAUCUCAUAAAUACAUUUAGUUUACAUAUGGUGAUAAAUCAUAUAUUCACUAAAACUGGCACAAGACAAAUAAAAAAAUUUUGCCUUUGUUUUGA
This is a long non-coding RNA of Exaiptasia diaphana, 1553 nucleotides long. RefSeq lists it as uncharacterized. The transcript has 4 exons. NCBI's taxonomy places the organism in Eukaryota, Metazoa, Cnidaria, Anthozoa, Actiniaria, Aiptasiidae. The record is from RefSeq and is a predicted model, not a curated record.